RNAcentral lists this long non-coding RNA (390 nucleotides) under Lactuca sativa (garden lettuce). RNAcentral's name for it is "long non-coding RNA (LSAT_LNC002034)". Lineage: Eukaryota; Viridiplantae; Streptophyta; Magnoliopsida; Asterales; Asteraceae. The record is from RNAcentral.
GAGUCUAUAGUGUGAUUGGUCCGCCCGCAUCGGGCCUUCAAUCCACCUGGUCCACUCUCUGAAUCUAACCACAUACAUCGAGUCUGCAGUGUGAUUGGUCCGCCCGCACCGGGCCUUCAAUCCACCUGGUCCACUCUCUGAGUCUACAGUAUGACUGGUCCGCCCGCACCGGGCCUUCAGUCGGCCUGGUCCACUCUCCGAGCCUCGGCACGUCUGGUCCGCCCUCUUGGGGCCUACAGCCUAUCCGGACCGCUUGCUGGGCCUUCGGGACAACCGGUCCGCCCUGGGUAUCUUGGCCUACAGCACAAAGCAGGACCCGCCUCAACCCAACUCCAGUCCAAACAACCAUGUGCACAUAAACAUACAAUCAUAUAACAAUUCACAGUCAAC